Molecule: ribosomal RNA, 485 nt
Filed under: uncultured bacterium
Lineage: Bacteria
Description: partial 16S ribosomal RNA
Rfam family: Bacterial small subunit ribosomal RNA
Source: RNAcentral
UUGAACGCUGGCGGCAUGCCUUACACAUGCAAGUCGAACGGCAGCACGGGUGCUUGCACCUGGUGGCGCGUGGCGAACGGGUGAGUAAUACAUCGGAACAUGUCCUGUAGUGGGGGAUAGCCCGGCGAAAGCCGGAUUAAUACCGCAUACGAUCUACGGAUGAAAGCGGGGGACCUUCGGGCCUCGCGCUAUAGGGUUGGCCGAUGGCUGAUUAGCUAGUUGGUGGGGUAAAGGCCUACCAAGGCGACGAUCAGUAGAUGGUCUGAGAGGACGACCAGCCACACUGGGACUGAGACACGGCCCAGACUCCUACGGGAGGCAGCAGUGGGGAAUUUUGGACAAUGGGCGAAAGCCUGAUCCAGCAAUGCCGCGUGUGUGAAGAAGGCCUUCGGGUUGUAAAGCACUUUUGUCCGGAAAGAAAUCCUUGGCUCUAAUACAGUCGGGGGAUGACGGUACCGGAAGAAUAAGCACCGGCUAACUACGUG